Molecule: ribosomal RNA, 463 nt
Filed under: uncultured bacterium
Lineage: Bacteria
Description: bacterial SSU rRNA
Rfam family: Bacterial small subunit ribosomal RNA
Source: RNAcentral
CCUANGGGAGGCUGCAGUCGAGAAUCUUCCGCAAUGGACGCAAGUCUGACGGGGCGACGCCGCGUGCAGGAUGAAGGCCUUCGGGUUGUAAACUGCUGUUGCAUCUUACGAACCCCCGGGAGUUAAUAGCUCUCCGGGAUGACCAGGGUGUGAGGAAGCACAGGCUAACUCCGUGCCAGCAGCCGCGGUAAUACGGAGUGUGCAAGCGUUACUCGGAAUCACUGGGCAUAAAGCGCGCGUAGGCGGGCAUUCAAGUCGGUUGUGAAAUCCCUCAGCUCAACUGAGGAACUGCAGCCGAUACUGUCUGUCUUGAGGACGAGAGGGGAGAGUGGAACUUCUGGUGGAGCGGUGAAAUGCGUAGAUAUCAGAAGGAACGCCGGUGGCGAAAGCGACUCUCUGGCUCGUAUCUGACGCUGAGGCGCGAAAGCUUGGGUAGCAAACGGGAUUAGAUACCCUANUANUC